Molecule: long non-coding RNA, 983 nt
Organism: Pseudoliparis swirei
Lineage: Eukaryota; Metazoa; Chordata; Actinopteri; Perciformes; Liparidae
Exons: 2
Source: RefSeq, a predicted model, not a curated record
GGCACGCGCACCACCAGAAACACCCGGCGGCAUCCGCACGAGGCCGGGGACAGGAGAGUGUUCCUACACGUCCCGCACGGAGCUCCACGAGCACGGUGGCUACAACGCUCCCGGUGCACGUCACCAGCCGGUGUACACCGGGGAAACACCGGGAGGACCUGCUGCACGUGAACGGGUCGCGUGCGAGGAAGUCUAUAGUUCCAACUUCCCGAGGUAUAUACGAGUGUAUAAAAGCACCGUUACGCGUUAUCUGGAGCGUCAACGAGGGUCUGACAGAGGAAACAAGGAGACGUACCACUUAGGUUAGAACUGUCCCCGGCGGUAUCCUCUUCUUCAUCUGCUGCCAGAUGUGCUGCAGCCUCCAUUAAGCCUGUCAUGCUGCUUCCCACCAGCAGGGGGUGAUCAAGAGCUGCUGUGCUUUACAGUCCGUCCCCAUGUUCUGCGUGACACUCCAUCUCACGCAACCCGCCACAAUAAGAAGUAUUCAGCUCAUUGUGUUGAAUCCAUUUCUCUGCAUACAUGUCAGUUAAAAGCUAAAAAGUUGAAGACCCAAUAUAGAUUUUCCACGACAUAUUUCAAGGAAGUUUUAUCUUUUGUAUUGCAUGUAUGUGUUUGCAUGUGUGUGUGUGUGUGUGUGUGUGUGUGUGUGUGUGUGUGUGUGUGUGUGUGUGUGUGUGAAAUGCAUUUUGAUCCUCGGAUAUUAGAGAUUAGAUAUUCCUUUAUUAGUCCCACAGUGGGGACAUUUUAGUACCACAGCAGCGGGUGCAUAUUAGAGAAUUAAUAAAAGAUACAAAUAAAACACAAAACACAAUAACAAAACUAAAUACUAACACUAAAAUACUAAAUAUACAGAGGAAACACAAUAUAUACACAAGGCAGUGACCAAAGGGAAUUUCCAGCAGUGUCAAACAUAUGUCGCAGUGUUUUUAUUUUGGUAAAAGCACGCAACCCCUGACUGUUUAAAUAAAAAAAUAAUGACGCUU